This 839-nucleotide long non-coding RNA is filed under the name Olea europaea subsp. europaea. Lineage: Eukaryota; Viridiplantae; Streptophyta; Magnoliopsida; Lamiales; Oleaceae. The record is from RNAcentral.
AUUUUUCAAAAGACAUACAAAUGUUCAAACAAAACUAAAAAAAGUUCUGCUUCAAUCUUUGAGAGGAAAACAUGAAGCUCUAUCCAUGAAAGAAACUGAAUCAAUUUCAAAUUAUUCGUCACGAAAAUUGGUGAUUAUCAAUGAGAUGAAAAGGCAUGGUAAAGAAGUAAGUGCUCUUCAGUGAUGAAAAAAAAUGAUUAUUACCUGAAAAAUUUAUUUUCCAUUGCAGUGGCUGUAGAAGAAUCAAAAGAGUUGGAAGAAAUGACUAUUGAUGAAGUUGGGAGUACACUGAAAGCUUACAAGGAAAAGGUGUUGGAAAAGAAAAGGAAAGAACGUGUAAGAAGAAUAAUAUGAACCAAAGAGGCAGAAAACAUGGAAGAGGUCAUAGAAGUGGAGAUAGAAAUUCUCAACAUUCAUCCAAUAAUGAAGGAAAUUGUCAAUAUUCAUAUAAUUCAAGAGAGCCAGGAAGACAAUCUUAAAAAAGAAGAAGAAAAAAAAUAAUGGUUGAAGAUAUGAUAAAUCUCAAAUUGAAUGAUAUAAUUUUCACAAGCUUAUUCAUUUCUUAUGUUAGUGCAGGAGUAACAAUAUGGUGGAGCAAUCCAGCUACGAUGAAAAUAACUCUUGAAAAUAGAAGGUACAAGGAGGCAAUAAUUCUUGGUACUUGUACAGCUAAGCAAGUAAUCAUAUGUGUGGAGACCAAUAUAUCUUUAUGGAAGCUAAAGAGCUAAAUGACCAUGUUACAUUUGGAAAUGAUUCCAAGCUGCAAGUCGAGGAUAAAAGUAAAUUUCUCAUCCAAAUGAAGAAUGAAGAAAAAUAAACAUUCAGUGUUUACUAUAUUU